Molecule: long non-coding RNA, 1006 nt
Filed under: Lonchura striata (white-rumped munia)
Lineage: Eukaryota; Metazoa; Chordata; Aves; Passeriformes; Estrildidae
Description: domestica (Bengalese finch) lncRNA (ENSLSDG00000008835.1)
Source: RNAcentral
UCUCCCUCUCUCCCGAAGUCGGGUAUUAUCAGACAGGCAUCCCGGCAUUGCCCGCAGGCAGAUUCUGGCCCCUCUGAGAAUACCCUAGACACCCCGCAGAGCGGUGCAGGCACUGUCUCUGCUUCUACCCGUUCCCCUUCUUCCCCGCGCUGUACAGCCCCGUCCCGUAGAGACUCCGUUCGUUUUCAGUUAUCCCAGACCCCCGAAGAUCCCUCAUCCCCCAUCCACCACCCCCAAACCCCACAAAAUGGCUUCCCUUCUCCCCCCUUCCCCAGGACACAAGAUGGCGGAGACCCCAUGGCUUUUCCCGCCACUUGUGCUUCUUCUUCCCAUGAUCCCUGUCCUCCCCCCUCCCAAAACCCCUUCCGGCAGACCAACCCUUUCCGGUCCCACGACUUCUCCGCCCAUCUCCCUCCUCCACCCCCGGCAGACUCCUCCUCUCUUGAAUUAUUUAACACCCCACCCCUCAGCUCCAACCCCGGGGAGGGGAGUCCCCAACAUACCACUCCCCCUGCUCCAGACCAUGCCUCAUCCCCUGGUUCCCACGACCCCACAUCCGGUUCCCACGCUUUCGGUUCCGGGGGGGGGAGCGUGGGAACCCCGAUCCACCCCAAUCCCUGCCUGCCUUCUCGGCCGCACCUGUCACCUGUACCCCGCGGCGGGGGGUAGGCCCCUUGCACAGUGGUCCCCCAUCCCCCAGCAGACCAUCAAAGAGCUCUGCAAGGCCCAGAAGGAGUUCGGGAGGGAAAGUGAGUACUUCCGAGGCUUAUUGAAGGCAACCCUCUCCUCCAAAGAAUAUGUCCCCGCGGACAUUCGGACUCUCUUCUCCUGCCUUAUCACCCACGGAGAAUUUUUAAUCUGGGAAUCCGAAUGGAAGCGGGAGAUCAGGGAGGUGUUGCCUGACCUCUGGGCCAAUGCAGAUAGCUCUAGGGAUGAAGAUGGGGCAAUAAUAUCCGUAGACCACUUGUGCGGGGAGGGGGAUUGGAAAAUGGGGACCAAGCAGGCA